This 506-nucleotide ribosomal RNA is filed under the name uncultured bacterium. Its description in RNAcentral is "partial 16S ribosomal RNA". It matches the Rfam family "Bacterial small subunit ribosomal RNA", at positions 29 to 523 of the family's 1533-position model. The record is from RNAcentral.
AGUGAACGCUGGCGGUAGGCCUAACACAUGCAAGUCGAACGGCAGCACAGAGGAGCUUGCUCCUUGGGUGGCGAGUGGCGGACGGGUGAGGAAUACAUCGGAAUCUACUCUGUCGUGGGGGAUAACGUAGGGAAACUUACGCUAAUACCGCAUACGACCUACGGGUGAAAGCAGGGGACCUUCGGGCCUUGCGCGAUUGAAUGAGCCGAUGUCGGAUUAGCUAGUUGGCGGGGUAAAGGCCCACCAAGGCGACGAUCCGUAGCUGGUCUGAGAGGAUGAUCAGCCACACUGGAACUGAGACACGGUCCAGACUCCUACGGGAGGCAGCAGUGGGGAAUAUUGGACAAUGGGCGCAAGCCUGAUCCAGCCAUACCGCGUGGGUGAAGAAGGCCUUCGGGUUGUAAAGCCCUUUUGUUGGGAAAGAAAUCCAGCUGGCUAAUACCCGGUUGGGAUGACGGUACACAAAGAAUAAGCACCGGCUAACUUCGUGCCAGCCGCCGCCGUAA